RNAcentral lists this ribosomal RNA (496 nucleotides) under uncultured bacterium. RNAcentral's name for it is "partial 16S ribosomal RNA". It matches the Rfam family "Bacterial small subunit ribosomal RNA", at positions 28 to 506 of the family's 1533-position model. The record is from RNAcentral.
GAUGAACGCUGGCGGCGUGCCUAAUACAUGCAAGUCGAGCGAACAGACGAGGAGCUUGCUCCUCUGACGUUAGCGGCGGACGGGUGAGUAACACGUGGAUAACCUACCUAUAAGACUGGGAUAACUUCGGGACACCGGAUCUUAUACCGGAUAAUAUAUUGAACCGCAUGGUUCAAUAGUGAAAGUCGGUUUUUCUGUAACUUAUAGCUGGAUCCGCGCCGCAUUAGCUAGUUGGUAAGGUAACGGCUUACUAAGGCAACGAUGCGUAGCCGACCUGCGAGGGUGAUCGGCGACAGAGGAGCUGAGACGCGAUACAGACACCGACGGGAGGCAGCGGUAGGUAAGCGUCCGCACUGGGCGAAAGCCUGACGGAGCAGCGCCACGUGGGUGAUGAAGGGCUUCGGAUCGGAAAACGCUGUUAUGGGGGAAGAACAAAUGUGUAAGUAACGAUGCGCGUCUGGACGUUACCGAAUCAGAAAGCCACGGUUAACUACGU